GGGGAAUAUUGCACAAUGGGCGCAAGCCUGAUGCAGCGACGCCGCGUGCGGGAUGACGGCCUUCGGGUUGUAAACCGCUUUUGACUGGGAGCAAGCCCUUCGGGGUGAGUGUACCUUUCGAAUAAGCACCGGCUAACUACGUGCCAGCAGCCGCGGUAAUACGUAGGGUGCAAGCGUUAUCCGGAAUUAUUGGGCGUAAAGGGCUCGUAGGCGGUUCGUCGCGUCCGGUGUGAAAGUCCAUCGCUUAACGGUGGAUCCGCGCCGGGUACGGGCGGGCUUGAGUGCGGUAGGGGAGACUGGAAUUCCCGGUGUAACGGUGGAAUGUGUAGAUAUCGGGAAGAACACCAAUGGCGAAGGCAGGUCUCUGGGCCGUCACUGACGCUGAGGAGCGAAAGCGUGGGGAGCGAAC
RNAcentral lists this ribosomal RNA (409 nucleotides) under uncultured bacterium. RNAcentral describes it as "bacterial SSU rRNA". It matches the Rfam family "Bacterial small subunit ribosomal RNA", at positions 356 to 773 of the family's 1533-position model. The record is from RNAcentral.